RNAcentral lists this long non-coding RNA (551 nucleotides) under Homo sapiens (human). RNAcentral describes it as "TM4SF18 antisense RNA 1 (TM4SF18-AS1)". The record is from RNAcentral. Lineage: Eukaryota; Metazoa; Chordata; Mammalia; Primates; Hominidae.
AACCUGCUUGGGUCCCUUUCCACACCGCGGAAGCUUUGUUCUUUUGCUCUUUGCAAUAAAUCUUGCUGCUGCUCACUCUUUGGGUCCACACUGCCUUUAUGAGCUGUAACACCGCGAAGGUCCACAGCUUCACUCCUGAGCCAGCGAGACCACGAACCCCACCAGAAGGAAGAAUCUGUGAACACAUCCGAACAUCAGAAGGAACAAACUCUAGACAUGCCGCCUUUAAGAACUGCAACACUCACUGCGAGUGUCCGCGGCUUCAUUCUUGAAGUCAGUGAGACGAAGAACCCACCAAUUCCAGACACAUUUUGGCGACCUAGAUGGGACAAUCGCCUAUCACCGAGUGGUGAGACCAUCGCCUAUAGCUGAGCGGCGAGACAAUCACCUAUCGCCAAGCAAUUACCUACCACUUCCAGGGUCAGAGCCCUUCACUUCAUAUUCAUGAGGAGACGGGGAAUUGGAAUAUACCCGCAGCCGACAAUCUCAGUGUGAAAUACUGGUUUACUGUUUGGAGAACAAUAGACAAUGAUCAACAACUGAAGAGCUGA